UACAGAGGUCUCAAGCGUUGUUCGGAUUCAUUGGGCGUAAAGGGUGCGUAGGUGGUGAUGCAAGUCUGGUGUGAAAUCUCGGAGCUUAACUCCGAAACUGCAUUCGAUACUGCCGUGCUUGAGGACUGGAGAGGAGACUGGAAUUUACGGUGUAGCGGUGAAAUGCGUAGAUAUCGGAAGGAAGACCAGUGGCGAAGGCGGGUCUCUGGACAGUUCCUGACGCUGAGGCACGAAGGUCAGGGGAGCAAACGGG
RNAcentral lists this ribosomal RNA (253 nucleotides) under uncultured bacterium. RNAcentral's name for it is "partial 16S ribosomal RNA". It matches the Rfam family "Bacterial small subunit ribosomal RNA", at positions 524 to 776 of the family's 1533-position model. The record is from RNAcentral.